This 1151-nucleotide long non-coding RNA is filed under the name Numida meleagris (helmeted guineafowl). RNAcentral describes it as "lncRNA (ENSNMEG00000002559.1)". Lineage: Eukaryota; Metazoa; Chordata; Aves; Galliformes; Numididae. The record is from RNAcentral.
AUGUGUCAGGGCACACACAAACACCCACACACGCGUGGUCACACGCAGCUCCGUGUCAGGGCACACACACACACACGUGUGGUCCCACACAAUGACACGCGUGUCCCCGCCGCUCUCCUCCUUGUCAGGGCACACACACACACACGCGUGUUCACACGCCAUGACAUGCGUGUCCCUGACUCUUUCCCCCGUCUCAGGGCACACACACACACACACACGCGUGCGCGCGGUCACACACGCAAUGACAUGCGUGUCCCUGACUCUUUCCCCCGUCUCAGGGCACACACAUGGUUCUCACACACACACGUGUGUUCACACACCAUGACACGCGUGUCCCCGACUCUUUCCCCCGUCUCAGGGCACACACGUGGAUCUCACACACACACACACAGGUGGUCACACACCAUGACACACGUGUCCCCACCACUCUCCCCCGUCUCAGGGCACAGACACACACACACACGCGUGUUCACACACAAUGACACACAUGUCCCUGACUCUUUCCCCCGUCUCAGGGCACACACACACACACACACACACACACACCAUGACACGCGUGUCCCCGACUCUUUCCCCCGUCUCAGGGCACACAGACACACACACGCGUGUUCACUCGCCAUGACACGCGUGUCCCCGCCGCUCUCCCCCAUCUCAGGGCACACACACACACACACUUGUUCACACGCCAUGACACGCGUGCCCCUGACUCUUUCUCCCAUCUCAGGGCACACACACACACGCACACGCCAUGACACGCGUGUCCCCGACUCUUUCCCCCGUCUCAGGGCACACACGUGGGUCUCACUUACACACACACACAUGGGUCUCACACACACACACAUGGGUCUCACUUACACACACACACGUGGGUCUCACUUACACGUGGGUCUCACUUACACACGUGGGUCUCACUUUCACACACACGUGGGUCUCACACACACGUGGGUCUCACACACACACACGUGGGUCUUACACACACACACGUGUAUCUCACUUUCACACACGUGGGUCUCACUUUCACACACACGUGGGUCUCACUUUCACACACACGUGGGUCUCACACACACACACACGUGCAUCUCACUUUCACACACGUGGGUCUCACUUUCACACACACACGUGGGUCUCACACACACACACGGGUCUCACUU